CAGUUCCACUCCCCGACACACCCUGCCUCGUCAUUGUCGGUGGGUUCUACGCCCCCCACCCCUACCAGCUCAAUGGGAUGGGAGGCUUGGAGCGACGGAACAGGAAAGCUCAGACGAUCGCUGAGGUUUUGUGUUAGAUAUUUUCUUUUUUUUUUUUCAUUUCUUUUUCGUUUUCAGAGAUCUAUGAAAGGAAAGCGUCUAAGAG
This 205-nucleotide long non-coding RNA is filed under the name Elaeis guineensis (African oil palm). RNAcentral's name for it is "long non-coding RNA (EGUI_LNC016275)". The record is from RNAcentral. Lineage: Eukaryota; Viridiplantae; Streptophyta; Magnoliopsida; Arecales; Arecaceae.